This 189-nucleotide ribosomal RNA is filed under the name uncultured Staphylococcus sp. RNAcentral describes it as "partial 16S ribosomal RNA". It matches the Rfam family "Bacterial small subunit ribosomal RNA", at positions 151 to 334 of the family's 1533-position model. The record is from RNAcentral. Lineage: Bacteria; Bacillati; Bacillota; Bacilli; Caryophanales; Staphylococcaceae.
GGGAAACCGGAGCUAAUACCGGAUAAUAUAUUGAACCGCAUGGUUCAAUAGUGAAAGACGGUUUUGCUGUCACUUAUAGAUGGAUCCGCGCCGCAUUAGCUAGUUGGUAAGGUAACGGCUUACCAAGGCAACGAUGCGUAGCCGACCUGAGAGGGUGAUCGGCCAUACUGGAACUGAGACACGGUCCAG